CCAAGUCCUUGCUGGUGUUGAGAACUUCCUGAUUCUCUACCAGUGGGUUAGCAUCGAGAACCACAGAGUUCUCUGCUGAACUAUAAAGCCUUUCCGGCAUCAAGAACCACAGAGUUCUUUGCUGAACCCCAAGGCCUUGUGAGGGUCCAGAAGUUCUCUAAUGUGUUGGGUAACCCCAAGGCCUUGUGAGGGUCCAGAAUUUCUCUGCCUAUGAGCUAGCAUAGAGAACCAUAAAGUUCUCUCCUGAACGCCGAGGCCGUGCCGACGUCGAGGACUUCCAGGUUCUGUGCAGGCAAGAAAGCAUGGAGAACCACAAUGUUUUUGAUGAACCCUAAAUUCUUACCAGCGUCGAGUACUUCCUGGUUCUCUGCCGGCGAGCUAGCAUUGAGAACCACAAAGUUCUUUGCUGAACCCUAAAUCCUUGUCGGUGUUGAGAACUUCCAGGCUCUGUGUCGUCGAGUCAGUAUCGACAACCAUAGAUUUCUCUACUGAAUCCCAAUCCUUUCCCGGCAUCGAGGACUUCCAAGUUCUCUAUCAACGAGCUAGCAUAGGGAACCACAAAGUUUUGUGCUGAAACCUAAAGCCUUACCAGUGUCGAGAACUUUCAGGUUCUUUGCCGAUGAGCCAACAUCAAGAACCACAGAGUUCUCUUUUGAACCCUAAAGGUUUAGUGGCAUCGAGAACUUUCGGGCUCUCUGUCGGUGAGCUAUCAUCGGGAACCACAUAC
RNAcentral lists this long non-coding RNA (727 nucleotides) under Hordeum vulgare. Its description in RNAcentral is "long non-coding RNA (HVUL_LNC004068)". Lineage: Eukaryota; Viridiplantae; Streptophyta; Magnoliopsida; Poales; Poaceae. The record is from RNAcentral.